CGGGGCAGCAUAGGGUUUCAGCAAUGAAAUUCGGAUGGCGACCGGCGCACGGGUGAGUAACACGUAUCCAACCUGCCCUUUACUCGGGGAUAGCCUUGCGAAAGUAAGAUUAAUACCGCAUGACACAUUGGGGUCGCAUGGCCCUGAUGUCAAAGAUUUAUCGGUAAGCGAUGGGGAUGCGUUCCAUUAGAUAGUAGGCGGGGUAACGGCCCACCUAGUCUUCGAUGGAUAGGGGUUCUGAGAGGAAGGUCCCCACAUUGGAACUGAGACACGGUCCAAACUCC
RNAcentral lists this ribosomal RNA (284 nucleotides) under uncultured Bacteroidales bacterium. RNAcentral's name for it is "partial 16S ribosomal RNA". It matches the Rfam family "Bacterial small subunit ribosomal RNA", at positions 65 to 339 of the family's 1533-position model. Lineage: Bacteria; Pseudomonadati; Bacteroidota; Bacteroidia; Bacteroidales. The record is from RNAcentral.